This 665-nucleotide ribosomal RNA is filed under the name uncultured bacterium. Its description in RNAcentral is "bacterial SSU rRNA". It matches the Rfam family "Bacterial small subunit ribosomal RNA", at positions 71 to 710 of the family's 1533-position model. The record is from RNAcentral.
GAUGGAAGCUUGCUUCUAUCAAUCUUAGUGGCGAACGGGUGAGUAACGCGUAAUCAACCUGCCCUUCAGAGGGGGACAACAGUUGGAAACGACUGCUAAUACCGCAUACGAUCCAAUCUCGGCAUCGAGACUGGAUGAAAGGUGGCCUCUAUUUAUAAGCUAUCACUGAAGGAGGGGAUUGCGUCUGAUUAGCUAGUUGGAGGGGUAACGGCCCACCAAGGCGAUGAUCAGUAGCCGGUCUGAGAGGAUGAACGGCCACAUUGGGACUGAGACACGGCCCAGACUCCUACGGGAGGCAGCAGUGGGGAAUCUUCCGCAAUGGACGAAAGUCUGACGGAGCAACGCCGCGUGAGUGAUGACGGCCUUCGGGUUGUAAAGCUCUGUUAAUCGGGACGAAUGGUUCUUGUGCGAAUAGUGCGAGGAUUUGACGGUACCGGAAUAGAAAGCCACGGCUAACUACGUGCCAGCAGCCGCGGUAAUACGUAGGUGGCAAGCGUUGUCCGGAAUUAUUGGGCGUAAAGCGCGCGCAGGCGGAUUGGUCAGUCUGUCUUAAAAGUUCGGGGCUUAACCCCGUGAUGGGAUGGAAACUGCCAAUCUAGAGUAUCGGAGAGGAAAGUGGAAUUCCUAGUGUAGCGGUGAAAUGCGUAGAUAUUAGGAAGAACACC